CGUGUAGGCGGUCAGGUUAGUGGGACGUGAAAUGCCCCGGCUCACCCGGGGACCUGCGUCCCAAACUGCCUGGCUCGAGUAUGGGAGAGGAUGUGGGAAUUCCUGGUGUAGCGGUGAAAUGCGUAGAUAUCAGGAGGAACACCGGUGGCGAAGGCGCACAUCUGGCCCAAUACUGACGCUGAGGCGCGAAAGCUAGGGAGCAAACG
RNAcentral lists this ribosomal RNA (206 nucleotides) under uncultured bacterium. RNAcentral describes it as "partial 16S ribosomal RNA". It matches the Rfam family "Bacterial small subunit ribosomal RNA", at positions 568 to 774 of the family's 1533-position model. The record is from RNAcentral.